UAGGGAAUCUUCCACAAUGGACGCAAGUCUGAUGGAGCAACGCCGCGUGAGUGAAGAAGGUCUUCGGAUCGUAAAACUCUGUUGUUAGAGAAGAACACGAGUGAGAGUAAUUGUUCAUUCGAUGACGGUAUCUAACCAGCAAGUCACGGCUAACUACGUGACAG
This 164-nucleotide ribosomal RNA is filed under the name uncultured bacterium. RNAcentral describes it as "partial 16S rRNA". It matches the Rfam family "Bacterial small subunit ribosomal RNA", at positions 355 to 511 of the family's 1533-position model. The record is from RNAcentral.